This 332-nucleotide ribosomal RNA is filed under the name uncultured Veillonellaceae bacterium. Its description in RNAcentral is "partial 16S ribosomal RNA". The record is from RNAcentral. Lineage: Bacteria; Bacillati; Bacillota; Negativicutes; Veillonellales; Veillonellaceae.
GGAGUCUGGGCCGUGUCUCAGUCCCAAUGUGGCCGUUCAUCCUCUCAGACCGGCUACUGAUCGUCGCCUUGGUGAGCCGUUACCCCACCAACUAGCUAAUCAGACGCAGGCCCAUCUCUAAGUGAUAGCUUACAAGUAGAGGCCAUCUUUGGUAAGUCUCUCAUGCGAGUUACUUACAACAUUCGGUAUUAGCAGAACUUUCGCUCUGUUGUCCCCAUCUUAGAGGCAGGUUGCCUACGCGUUACUCACCCGUUUGCCACUAGGCUCAUAAAAGCAAGCUUCUAAUCGCCCCGUUCGACUUGCAUGUGUUAAGCCUGUAGCUAGCGUUCAUC